UACGGGGGGGGCAAGCGUUGUUCGGAAUUGCUGGGCGUAAAGGGCUCGUAGGCGGCCAACUAAGUCAGACGUGAAAUCCCUCGGCUUAACCGGGGAACUGCGUCUGAUACUGGAUGGCUUGAAUCCGGGAGAGGGAUGCGGAAUUCCAGGUGUAGCGGUGAAAUGCGUAGAUAUCUGGAGGAACACCGGUGGCGAAGGCGGCAUCCUGGACCGGCAUUGACGCUGAGGCGCGAAAGCCAGGGGAGCAAACGGG
This 253-nucleotide ribosomal RNA is filed under the name uncultured bacterium. RNAcentral's name for it is "partial 16S ribosomal RNA". It matches the Rfam family "Bacterial small subunit ribosomal RNA", at positions 524 to 776 of the family's 1533-position model. The record is from RNAcentral.